UUUUUUGUAUUAGGUUGACAUUAAUGUUUGGUCAGCCUUCAUCUCCAUCUUCUUCAAGUGAAUAGUAAAUUCAUUUAUUAACAGAGGAGGAACAAGGCUUAUGCAGCAUCUUAAUGGAGAUACGGUCCACGAGUUGCAAGAAUCAAGAAUUUGAAGUCUAAAGAACCUAUCCUCGAAGAAAGUGCAGAUCAAGUUAGAGUACAAUUUUCUUUAGGAGUGGUUUAAAAAUGUUGUCUUAGUGUUCAUAUGCUGCAACUUUAUUUAUUCUUUUUAGGAGUUGACAAAAAUUAUGCCAUACAACUGGGAUGGGUAUGUUUUCUGGUAACGUGGAGCUUUAGUUUUGUGUUGACGAUGAAA
This is a long non-coding RNA of Lycium barbarum (goji berry), 357 nucleotides long. RefSeq lists it as uncharacterized. The transcript has 3 exons. Lineage: Eukaryota; Viridiplantae; Streptophyta; Magnoliopsida; Solanales; Solanaceae. The record is from RefSeq and is a predicted model, not a curated record.